AAAAAAUCCUAUUUUCUCUAUAACCUUCCUGUACUAUUCUAUUUUGGAACUUGAGAAUCAAUAACUGGCUUGGAAAUGAGCUCAUUGUCCUUAACUUUUGCUUUAUUGAUUCACGAUAUACUUAUUGAAAUGUAAUAAACUAUUCAUAAACUUGCAAAGCCCAAUUUUUCUCAGAGCUUCUCCAAGGAGAUGUAUAUGUCUUUCAAAAAAGAUUAUAUUACCUAUUCUAAAUCAUUUUGAUUUUUAUGUCUAGGUAAAAUGCUGACUCACAGCCCUAGAUUGCUAUUUUAUAGUUUAGGCAAUUUUUUAAAAAGUCACUUGAGAUUCUUCUGGAGAACAGCAAUUUCAAGUGCAUGAAGGGGUAUUAAGCAGAAGGUGAUAACCUACUUUGCUUCAUUUUCAGGGAAGCUACAAGAGGGAAGAGACAAAAGAAAUAGUGGAUAUGAAAAUAACUUCAUCUUGGCUUUCUGUGGCUCUUCUGGCCCAAAGUGCUUUAAAAAAAUCAUAGAUAUGCAUAAAUAUAUGUUUAUGUAUACCUUAACUUCACAGUAUAUCUUAGGAGGAUAGCAUUAUAGAAAGACAAUGCUUAAUUUCCGCAAGAUCAUACAAUAGGAGGAGUAAUUUCCAUCUUCUAACUUUUCUUGUUAAAAUUAAAUUCAUCUUGGGCUGGGGAUUUAGCUCAGUGGUUCCACCACCUGCCUUGCAAGUGCAAGGACCCAAGUUCAAUCCCCAGUACCAAAAAAAAAAUUUUAAAUCAUCUUGAUAAAGUCUUAGGAUCUCACAGAGUAGAUCACUUAGAAAAGGAUAGCAAAUAAAUUCUUUUAUUUACUAAGUUAGGUAAGUUUGCACCUAAUUUAUGUACUUUUUGCCUGUGUUUUUCUAAGAUCUUAGGAUACAAGUAACAUUUUCAUUCUGAAGCCACAUCUUGGUGACAACUUUAAAUGUGUAUUUAUACUGCUAAUCUCUUAUUUGUCCUUCUUCCUAUUUUUCUUAUCUUUAACCCCUUACUGCAGACUGUGUCCAAGGCAUGGUGACACACAUCUAUAAUCCCAGCCCUUUGGGAGACUGAGGCAGAAAGAUCACAAGUUCAAACCCAGCCUGGGCAACUUAAUAAGACCCUGUCUCAAAAGGCCUGGGAAUGUAGCUCUGUGUGAAAGCCCUGGGGUCAACCACCAGUAGCAAAAAAGGAAAAAAAGAGGGCAAGGGAGUGAAUGUAGGGAAAGAAGAGAAGUAGAGAGGAAAUAGGGAGGGAAGGGAACAAAGUGUGAAAGGCCAGUGGAGACUAGAGAUACCAGAGGCAGAGAGAGAACAAGAAAAGUUCAUUCAUUGCUAAGCAAACAUACUUUGAAGAUGUAAAUAGGCAGUGACAAAAUCAGUGCCAAAAACUGAAGAAAAAUUGGAUAACACAAGGACUGAGAGACCUCUGGCCUACCAGUGAGGUGUUUUCAGAGUUUAUGAGGAAUUUGGGUAUUUGCAAUGGCUGACAGUAGGGAUUCUUAAUCUUUUAUCUAUGAAGUGUCUCAAAGUGUGUCAGUGGGCCACUUUGAUCAGAAACACCUGGGGAGCCUGUUAAAAAUGCAGUUUUCUGGAACCAUUCUAAAGAUUCUAAGUUAGAAUCUUAGGAAUCAAAGUUCUGUUUUGUCCCAUAACUCCCUUCCAGGUGAUCCUUGUGAACACUGGAAUCUCAGAGCCAUUGUUAUGCAGAAUAAAGCCCAAAUUGCUGAGAGGCUGGUCUCAGGGCUUUAUAACCUGGCUCCAGCUCAACUUUCUAAUCUUUUCUCCCACUAGUCUCCUACAGAAAUUCUAGUACAGCUCUAAGUAUAUUUUUCUUAAGUAAUCCCCUUACCUAAAUUACCUUCUGCUCUCUAAGUCCACCGUCAUUCAAAUCUAGCCCAAGUCAGUCUCAUGGCCCCACAGUAAUUUUCCCUGCCUCUGUCUUUCUUGGCAUUAUGGUUGUGCCACUCUUGACACUGUGAUGUGUCUUAUGAGAUUGAGUACUUUGUAUUUUUUGUAUAUUUCUAUAUCUUGAUUGUAAGAGUGUAAAUAAUAAUGUGAAGAGACAGAAUAAUAAUGGACAGACAUAAUAAAGUGUAAACUUUUUAUCUUCCACAGUUUCCAUAGUGCUGGGCCUGUUCACGCUUAGUUCUCAGUGAAUGUUAUCUGAAUUAAUUUGGAUAUAUGUCAGUGAGCAGAAUACUCCUCUUGAUUUUGGUUGAGUAUUGCUACUAGUUCACACAUAGAUUUCUUGGUUAAGGAAUACAGGUUGGGUAUGCAAGAGGCAAGUUUAAUACAGCUACAUUUUGCUUUUAUAUAUAAUACCAGAAAAGUUGGGUACAAGCUAAAAGGAAGUGCUUUUGAGUACUUCAACACAAAUAUGGGCAUUAUUGUUUCUAUUUUAUUAUUGUAUUAUAUCAAAUGUUCACUUUACAUUUUCUAAGGUUCACUACAGAAUCUAAUAGAAUGCAACUGCAUUUUCGUAAGAGCUCUAUACCUAAAAUGGUCUUCAAAAAGCAAACUAUUCUUAAAGUGCAAAAAUGAAAAGUUGUUUCAUUUAAGAUAACCUGUAUGUGAGUCUUUCAUAAAAUAAACUUUUUUUGA
This is a long non-coding RNA of Heterocephalus glaber (naked mole-rat), 2598 nucleotides long. The record is from Ensembl. Lineage: Eukaryota; Metazoa; Chordata; Mammalia; Rodentia; Bathyergidae.